UAUUUCAGUCAGUUGACGGUUUAACAAAUCCAGUGGCCACUUAUAGCGAUGGAAUUCUGACGGCUUCGUUGACAAGAAGCAACACGAACUCUAACCCGAAUGUUUUUGAUCUUACUUAUAACUACUAUGUACUGUUUGCAAAAGGGACAAUUUCAGGAGGUACUUUUCCAUUUCCUUAGUUUAUAUUUCGUUUGUAUAUGAUUUAUUUUUUUACUUUGUAAAGACUGUACGGUAACUAUAGCUUAUAUCUACGUAACGUGGUUUCUGCUGGAUAUUGGUCACAUUGGCAAUCAUGUCACAUCUCCUUUUGACAUCGCGAUGUUCGUGAGGGCAUUCCGAUAUAUUGUUGCCAAAGAGAUUUUACUUUCGUUUUUGACUGGUAACCGAUCGUAUAAAUACGCGCUAACGUGGACAUUAUCGAGUGCAAAAUAACAUAAUUAAUAAUAUGAAAAUGUUUUCUUGUUAGAAAUAUAUAUAUAAGUAUAAAAUCAUUAAUAUCUAUGCACAUGUACAGAACAAUUGUGUUAAUACAUGCGGAAGAAUGUUGCAUACUUUUUACUUGUAUAUUUUGUUAACAACGAUUUUUUUAUGAAUAGCUUCAAAUAUUUUUUUCAUAGUGUUAAGAGAUUGUCUGUUUAACUUUACGCCAGCGACAAAUAAAAUUCAUUUUAGAGACUAUAAUACAAGUAUGUAAAUACGAAAAGAGUAUGAAUAUGGAUGAAUAUAAACCCUGCUUUGUACUGAACUGACAUGCUGAUCCGGAUUUUUUUAUGUAACAGAUAUGUCACCUUAGCCGGACACAUACAUCUGACUCCGAGCCGAACAACUGAACCGUUGUGUUGUUUUAAACGAGGAAUUCGGUUCGGAAUUGAGAUAUCUACUUUUGCUUUUGCUACAGUGUUGAUAUAGUUAUUCGUGCUUCAACGCAACAUUUUUAUUUAUGGCAAUAGUGGUUUAAUAUUUGUACAUUGUCGUCUAAGUGCAUUUCAAACGUUUUACUUUUAACAUUUUUAUCUUUCGAUUCUACACAAGGGCUUUAUGCACUGGUAUACAUAUUUAUUUGUUUUUUUUCCCAAAUUCCAGGGGAAAAAAGCCAGCAUUCUUUUACAGACAAAACCGAUGUAUUGGUAGACUUUCAGUCGACAAAGGAUCUCCAUGGGGGUGUGGCGAUGAUAAAACCUUUCACAUCCAUAUUGAUCAUGUUAUGCGUCUCUCAAAUUGUACUGUUUUCCAUGUAAAUACUAUCAACAAAUAGACAAAGAAAACGUCUGAUUAUUAGAGUAUAUCAUUUUGGCUUUUCAAUAUAACAAACAUAUACAAUCACAAGACACAUAUACAAUUCCAAGAGUUCGAUCUGCUCUAGCUCAGGGAAUCGUAUUGCUUGAUGGUUGAUGCAGUCUGGUAUAUAGAAAAACCGUGCAUGUUCGCCCCUCUGUUAGGAAAAUAACAAGCUUUUUAAAAGACUGUUAUGAAUGAUUGUGUGUUAAUUACAGAACAUAAAUUGAACAAAAUAAUGACGGGUAUGUGUUCUCAAUCAAUUAUUAAUUUGGCGGGAAACGAUUCUCACCAGAAAUUUCGUACAUUUACCAUUGAUACCAUUUUCUUUCAAAAACUAUGAAAAAAUUACAAUGAUUUCAUAAGAUUUUCAAAAAUGGCUUUUUUGAAACAACACGCAAUAAGAUCAUGGAAAGAAAAUUAUGGGUGAGCGGGCAAAAUUUUUAUUUGUACUAUGAUACAUAAAACAAGAGGAUUCCGAAUAGCUGACUUAAAAGUUUAAAAAAAAACAUCUUUAAGGUGCAAGACCACCAAAUCAAAAUCCCUAUCUAUUUGACCAAAUUUUAUAAUUUUUACACCUUUCUCAAUAUUUUACCUUAAGUUUAACUUCGUAGAAUCCAGGUAUACUUUUAUAAAUUGUGACUUGAAUGGAAAAUUGUCUCAUUGGCACUCAUCCAUUAUAUAUAUAUAUAUCCUGAAUCAUACAUGUAUCACCGUUUAACAUGUCAAUUUUUUUGAAAUUUUGAAAGUUUUAUAACGAAGAACUAACGUUCUAAAGCCAAGUACUACUAAAUAUAACCCCCAUAUACUAUAGAGCGCAUUUAUUCUCAAUUUUUAAUGUAAACUCAUGGACAAGUUAAUUUUAGCUCAAAAUGGUCUAAAUAUAUUUCUCUUGAUUUAUAAUUUCACUUUCAAAUAUAUGCGUAUGUAUGUAAAAUUCAUGAGUACGGAAAGUUAUAAACCAGGAGUGAUAUUUAGAUACGGUAGAUAUACUUGUUUCAUUUAGCAGGAAUUAAUGGGCGGCAUCAUCUUGGAUAGCUUACUUAGUUUAUUUUGGGAUAUUAUAUGCUUUUAACAAUUUGCUAACAUUUUGUCUUAGACAUAGAUUUAUGUAAUUCGUUGAGACUUAACAUUCAAGAAAUGAGAUAAAUUUAUUGAUAGAUUUACAAAUGAAAGAAUCUGUGUAGUGACAUCAUUUUUGUAGAUGACGUUUAUAGAAAAUAUUGCACCAUUAUCAUUAUUAUUGACACUUUUUAUGUGUUGGUCCUAUAAAUGACCCUGGUCCUAUAUAUAACCAUGAUGGCAUUUAG
Molecule: long non-coding RNA, 2585 nt
Filed under: Mytilus galloprovincialis (Mediterranean mussel)
Lineage: Eukaryota; Metazoa; Mollusca; Bivalvia; Mytilida; Mytilidae
Source: RNAcentral